GGAUGUGAGGGUGAUCUAGCUGCAACAUCUGUUACCCCAUUAAUCGCCAGGGUUGAUUCGGCUGAUCUAGCUGGCUAAGCAGGUAUCCCCUUCCUCCCUCACUGCUCCAUGUGCAUCCCUCCCAAAUACUGCACGCUCGAUGGAAGAGGACGACUAUCCCCAAUAGAGGAGGACUGGUCUUCCGUCAAGGGUAUAGGAGUAGCUGCGCUUCCCUGCUGGAACCCCCAAACAAGCUCUUAAAGAGGAAUGAAGACCAAUCUUCAAAAACUCCUCCAAAAAAAUACGAGAAGAGGGAACACUUCACAACUUAUUCUUU
Non-coding RNA from Gorilla gorilla gorilla (western lowland gorilla), 316 nucleotides. It matches the Rfam family "7SK RNA". Rfam says of the family: 7SK was discovered as an abundant small nuclear RNA in the mid-70s but a possible function has only recently been suggested. Two independent studies have found that 7SK RNA binds the CDK9/cyclin T complex (known as elongation factor P-TEFb). The record is from Rfam. Lineage: Eukaryota; Metazoa; Chordata; Mammalia; Primates; Hominidae.